This 847-nucleotide long non-coding RNA is filed under the name Chinchilla lanigera (long-tailed chinchilla). RNAcentral's name for it is "lncRNA (ENSCLAG00000024928.1)". The record is from RNAcentral. Lineage: Eukaryota; Metazoa; Chordata; Mammalia; Rodentia; Chinchillidae.
UAUCCCUCCCUUCCCUGCGCCUAGUACAGCGCUGGCUGCCUGGUGCGCACCCAGCUCCCGUGAGGAAGGCGGGACGCGUGCCUGCAUGAACUGGAGAGAGACGUGGAGGACAGCAGCCCCUACAUUCUGAAGUGUGACACAGCACCAUAAAUGACAACAGUUUGUGUGCCUGCUCAGACAGUGACUAAUGAUGCUUGGUUGCCUCGAGCGCAUUAAGACACGAUUACAUUCUGUUAGCUCAGCGCUCCUGCCUUCGGAACGAAAGUGGCGCUGUGCUAGGUACCAACCCUGGUGGGGGAUGGACUGCACUACUAGAAUCCUGGUGAGCCCGAAUGCACUGUGAGCUGACACCCUGCUGCCCUACCUCCUUCCUAAGGAGCAGAAAGGGAUACCUGGACUGAGAUGAGUGGAGGCGGAGUAGCAGCUGAGCUCCUGUCUGCGUGAAGUCCACACUUUCAAAGAUAGAACUCCGUCCAUCAGAGGAGUGAAGUGUGCUUGGAUCCAGAAUAAAAGCUUUCUGUCAUAUUGCCUUGUAACGUUUUUUGGCGCUUUUAGAAAGGAGAGAGAGAGAAUGAAAUUGGGUGACAACAAUUCUAAAUGGAGUCUUUGCCUUUGAUGGUUUCUGAAGACAGAACCAUGGCGGAUACUGGCUAUGAAAGCUUGCUAUGAUACUGGCUAUGAAAAGUCUCCCAGUGUCAACUUGCUUUUUCUCAGUGACAGACAGGGGUUCGUUUAGGGUGCCGUGAUGCUGACGUCUGCAGUGGGAAGCAUGGGGGCUCCAAGGUCCUUUGGUACAGCCUCCACACAAACACUGAGGAUUUCUACAGUUAGCCCCCUUCUUGCGGUG